GGAGCUACUCCACCUAAUGUCCGACCGUACCGCUAUUCGCCACUGCAGAAGGAUAAGAUAGAGCGCCAGGUUGCAGAAAUGCUUCAGGCCGGUUUGAUCACCACCAGUAUAAGCCCCUUCGCAGCUCCAGUUUUGCUGGUCAAAAAGAAAGACGAUACAUGGCAUCUCUGUGUUGAUUACCGUCGUCUAAAUGACAUCACCAUCAAGAAUAAGUUUCCCUUUCCCAUUAUCGAUGAAUUGCUUGACGAGUUGGCCGGUGCUCGCUUCUUUUCCAAACUCGAUCUGCGCUCCGGUUACCACCAAAUAAGGAUGCACCCUGAGGACGAGGAUAAAACAGCCUUCAAGACCCACCACGGCCAUUUUCAGUUUCGCGUGAUGCCAUUUGGAGUGACGAAUGGUCCUCCCACCUUCCAGUGCGUGAUAAAUUCAGUUUUUGCC
This 438-nucleotide ribosomal RNA is filed under the name Triticum aestivum (bread wheat). RNAcentral describes it as "partial small subunit ribosomal RNA". Lineage: Eukaryota; Viridiplantae; Streptophyta; Magnoliopsida; Poales; Poaceae. The record is from RNAcentral.